GACGAAGGAUGCAAGCGUUAUCCGGAUUUAUUGGGUUUAAAGGGAGCGUAGGCGGUCUUAUAAGUCAGUGGUGAAAUCUCGUUGCUUAACAACGAACGUGCCAUUGAUACUGUAGGACUUGAGUACAGUUGCCGUUGGCGGAAUGUGUCAUGUAGCGGUGAAAUGCAUAGAUAUGACACAGAACACCGAUUGCGAAGGCAGCUGACGAAACUGUAACUGACGCUGAGGCUCGAAAGCGUGGGGAUCAAACAGG
This 253-nucleotide ribosomal RNA is filed under the name uncultured bacterium. RNAcentral describes it as "partial 16S ribosomal RNA". It matches the Rfam family "Bacterial small subunit ribosomal RNA", at positions 524 to 776 of the family's 1533-position model. The record is from RNAcentral.